UGUGUUAAAAGUGUUAAUUAGAGACAUAUGAUGUUAUAGGGAGAUUAUAGCUCGGAGGAUCGAGCACGUGUGAUUUCGGGAUUUGCUAGCCAUCGAUAUUCACGAGGUACUAGCGAUGACCGUGGGAAUGCGCCGGCUUGAUCUGUACACACGCAUGGGAUUUUUGAUAUACAUCGAUCUUGGGAUUUUGUGUAAUGUGAAUUGAGAUUUAAACUUGAUGUUUUUAUGAAAAAUUAAUGAGAAAUGUUUUUAUAAAUUGUGAAAAAUUAUUUUAAAA
Non-coding RNA from Lactuca sativa (garden lettuce), 277 nucleotides. NCBI's taxonomy places the organism in Eukaryota, Viridiplantae, Streptophyta, Magnoliopsida, Asterales, Asteraceae. The record is from RefSeq and is a predicted model, not a curated record.